AGGAAGGAUGGAGAGUAGCUGCGCCACAGCUGCUAGGAGCUGCAGUUGUACUGGCUGUGCAAGAAACCACCUAUCGAGGUCAGGAGUCACUGGAAAAGUUGUUAGGCCGGUAUUUCUACAUCUCGCGUUUCUCAGCCCUUGCCAAAACGGUGAGGCAGCGGUGUGUUACCUGCCGACAGCAUAAAGCGAGGCAAGGUCCAGCCGUUCCACCCGGCAUACAAGCUUAUGGAGCAGCCCCCUUAGAAGAUCUCCAGGUAGACUUCACAGAGAUGCCAAAGUGUGGAGAUCUGAUUCGUAGAUUGGGACUGCCCUUCCGGAUCGGCUCAGAUAACGGGCCUGCGUUUGUGGCUGACUUGCUACAGAAGACGGCAAAGGAAUUGGGGAUCACACGGAAAUUGCCUGCUGCCUCCCGGCCUCAGAGUUCCGGAAAGGUGGAGGGGAUGAAUCGGACUAUCAAAAUAGUAUUAUUGUCUUCCGCGAUGGAUAUGUAAAACAACACCACGAGGGGCGUCAAACCACCUGCUACAUUUGAGGGAAUGUUAUCCUCUCCCCCCCUCCCCCGGCCCCGGAUAUUAGAGGCAAUAACACAGGGGUAGUGUACACCCACUGCUUUAUUGGGAGUAAUGCCAUCCUCUGCCUUCUUGGAUAUUAGGAACAAUAUCACAGUGUGCGUGUACGCCUGUCGUGAAAUUCAAUGGUAUGUCAUCUUGUGCCUCCCUGGAUAUGACGAACAGUAUCACAGGGGAUGUACAACUUCUGAGAUAUCGGGAGUGAUCUCAUCCUCUUCCCUCUGGAAGUUAGGGACAAUAUCACAGGGGUAGUGUACACCUUCUGGGACUUUGGGACUAAUAUCCUCCCACCCCCUGGAUAUUAAAAACCAUGUCACAA
Molecule: long non-coding RNA, 888 nt
Organism: Homo sapiens (human)
Lineage: Eukaryota; Metazoa; Chordata; Mammalia; Primates; Hominidae
Exons: 2
Source: RefSeq, a predicted model, not a curated record